Molecule: ribosomal RNA, 514 nt
Filed under: uncultured bacterium
Lineage: Bacteria
Description: bacterial SSU rRNA
Rfam family: Bacterial small subunit ribosomal RNA
Source: RNAcentral
UGGGGAAUCUUGGACAAUGGGGGCAACCCUGAUCCAGCCAUGCCGCGUGAGUGAUGAAGGCCUUAGGGUCGUAAAGCUCUUUCGCCUGUGAAGAUAAUGACGGUAGCAGGUAAAGAAACCCCGGCUAACUCCGUGCCAGCAGCCGCGGUAAUACGGAGGGGGUUAGCGUUGUUCGGAAUUACUGGGCGUAAAGCGCACGUAGGCGGACCAGAAAGUUGGGGGUGAAAUCCCGGGGGCUCAACCCCGGAACUGCCUCCAAAACUAUUGGUCUAGAGUUCGAGAGAGGUGAGUGGAAUUCCAAGUGUAGAGGUGAAAUUCGUAGAUAUUUGGAGGAACACCAGUGGCGAAGGCGGCUCACUGGCUCGAUACUGACGCUGAGGUGCGAAAGUGUGGGGAGCAAAACAGGAUUAGAUACCCCUGGUAGUCCACACCGUAAAACGAUGAAUGCCAGUCGUCGGGUAGCAUGCUAUUCGGUGACACACCUAACGGAUUAAGCAUUCCGCCUGGGGAGUAC